This 520-nucleotide ribosomal RNA is filed under the name uncultured compost bacterium. RNAcentral's name for it is "bacterial SSU rRNA". It matches the Rfam family "Bacterial small subunit ribosomal RNA", at positions 369 to 903 of the family's 1533-position model. The record is from RNAcentral.
CAAUUGCGCGAAAGCGUGACGGAGCAAUGCCGCGUGCAGGAUGAAGCCCCUCGGGGUGUAAACUGCUGUCAGGGUUUAGGAACACAAUGACCAGACCCAAAGGAAGAGACGACUAACUCUGUGCCAGCAGUCGCGGUAAUACAGAGGUCUCGAGCGUUAAUCGGAAUCACUGGGCUUAAAGCGUACGUAGGCGGAGAUGCAGGCGUCAUGUGAAAUCCCUCGGCUCAACCGAGGAACUGCAUGGCGAACCGCACCUCUUGAGACAAGUAGGGGCUGUCGGAACGAUAGGUGGAGUGGUGAAAUGCGUUGAUAUCUAUCGGAACGCCAAAGGUGAAGACAGGCAGCUGGGCUUGUUCUGACGCUGAGGUACGAAAGCGUGGGGAGCGAACGGGAUUAGAUACCCCGGUAGUCCACGCCGUAAACGAUGUGCACUAGAUCGAGGAGGUUCUGACACCAUUCUCGGUCGAAGUAAAAAUGUUUAGUGCACCGCCUGGGGAGUACGGUCGCAAGGCUAAACUCA